UUGAAGUGAGGUGAACGUAUAAAAAUGUAUCAUAACGGCAUUUUUUGUGCUGCUAUGGAGGUACAUAAAUUGUUUGUAACCAUUUGUCAAAUUAGUGUAGCUUUCUGCGUAAUAGUUUACUGAUUCACGUGAAGUGUUGUCUGUAUCAUGCAGAAGUGGAUAUUGUCAUAUACAUGAUUGUUUGUAUCACUCCAAAAACUAAACACGAAUGUGAUUCAGUUAUUAUAUCAGUGAUGUGAUGAGAUACAACAAGCGUAAUUGAUUUAAUAAACAUGUCAUGAUGGGUUGAUGUGCACAACCCCUUAUUAUGAUUUAUAUAACCUGUUAACUCCUGUAGGCUGGUUAAUAUGUGACACUGCACAAGUAUCUUCUGUUAGAAAUAUGUCAACAUGAUUUUGGUAUGAGUGCAUUUAAGGCAUAGCCAAAUCCAAUUUUUUUCGUGGAUGAGUUGUGCUCAAGUUUGUCUCUACUGUUGCCUCCCCUAAUUGAUGCUGUUCCAUUCUAUCGGCUGAUUUGAAUAUGUUGAAUUUUCCUGUCUUGCCAUUCAAAUCAAUCUCUAGUUUGAAUUUGAAAAGACGGUAAGAAGCAACUUCCUUUCAGUAAAGGUCUAUUUUAUUUUAUUUCCUGUAAUGAAGCUUAUGCUGUAAGAUUCCUUUCUUGCCUAGAAAAACUGGCAGGGAUAUUUCUAGUGAUUUUUCUUGUUCAUAUUUGUAUAUUUGAAUCAUAAAAUUGAGUUCCAAUCAUAUUUGUCUAUUUGAAUUAUAAACAUAAAUUAUUUCUAUGUCACUGUAUCUAGCCUUAUCCUUAGCUGCUGGAUUGCUCAUGUCUGUUUAGUGCUGAUGUGCACUGCACAUGUGUGA
This 860-nucleotide unclassified non-coding RNA is filed under the name Hevea brasiliensis (rubber tree). Lineage: Eukaryota; Viridiplantae; Streptophyta; Magnoliopsida; Malpighiales; Euphorbiaceae. The record is from RNAcentral.